This 413-nucleotide small RNA is filed under the name Pongo abelii (Sumatran orangutan). Its description in RNAcentral is "processed transcript". Lineage: Eukaryota; Metazoa; Chordata; Mammalia; Primates; Hominidae. The record is from RNAcentral.
CGCCCAGGUAACAUCACUAGCGACCGGUGACCUUUUUUUCCUUCUUGCCUGGCUCCUGUGGUGGCAGGCUGGCCACGAGGACCAUGCUGGGCCGGACCCUCCGAGAACCUGACUUUGAAACCAAAAGUUAGCUAAGGAGAAGAAUGUCAUGUCCUCCACCUGUCCUCAAGCUGAUCAGUGCAUCACCCUUCAUCCACUACACUAAGUGUAGAGGUUUCUGCGGCACUGAAACAAGGCCAAAUUACACCAACAGAGCUCUGUCAAAAAUGUCUUUCUCUUAUCAAGAAGACCAAGUUUCUAAAUGCCUACAUUACUGUGUCAGAAGAGGUGGCCUUAAAACAAGCUGAAGAAUCAGAAAAGAGAUAUAAGAAUGGACAGUCACUUGGGGAUUUAGAUGGAAUUCCUAUUGCAGU